AGUCCUUUUAUUAGGUUGUCUUGAAUUUAUGUUUUUUUGGCCCAUUUCCCGUUUGCAAGCAAAUGCUUCAAAGCUCAACUCCACGCCUCAUAAAGUUAGUACAUUUAUGUUGAUCAAUGUCCGACCACCAAUUCACAGGGAGGUAACCUCCUUCCUUAUAUUUUAGUGUUAAUUCAAGUGUGUUGGACAUUCUUCAUUUAGAACCAUGCUCGAUGGGGUCUAUUUUCUCUCUCUUGGGAAAUGUGUAGCUUUUAUGAUUCCCUUCCAAUUCCCCACUUCCGAUAGUGCUCUCGGGCGGUAACAUUACUCCGACAAUCUAUUUCCUAACAUGUUUUUCGUACUCUUUUCUUUGUCCAACACUCUUUUACGUAAUCCUCAUUCUUUUACUUGUUAAUACUUAUCCAUUUUGUCUGUGAUGCUAUUAAUCUGACUCUAUACAAUUUCUUGGUUCUGGACUAAUCACCAGUCACUGAGUAACUUAAGCCUACAUUACGGUGACGAGAAAGGCGGAUGUGGUGAGUUAAUAAGAAAGUAUGGAGAGACGUUGUCAAAGGUGCGCUUAAAGCGCGCUUAAGCCCUGAAGCGAGGCUCAAACCAUGUUGAGCGCUUCGCCUCGCUUUAUGUGCGCUUCAGUGUCAUCAUCAAGGCUCUAAGACAUACUUUUCCUUGCCAAUGAGCCUCCCUUGAAGGGGUGACACUAGAUAAUUCAUAUUUCACUUUAUCGUAAUAUUUUUACAAUUCUUUUGUCCAUAUAUUUGUUAUUCAUGCUUAUUAUUAUUAUUAGUCUUGGACUAAACAUAUAUAGAUUUGUAUUUUGCACCAUUGCACCUUUUUUCAUUAAAGCCCACGCUUUAUUUGCGCUUUGCGCUUAAAGCCCCAGCUAACCUUAGAGCUUUUUUGCGCUUUUCGCUUUUGAUAA
Lycium ferocissimum is the source of this 919-nucleotide long non-coding RNA. RefSeq lists it as uncharacterized. The record is from RefSeq and is a predicted model, not a curated record. The transcript is spliced from 2 exons. NCBI's taxonomy places the organism in Eukaryota, Viridiplantae, Streptophyta, Magnoliopsida, Solanales, Solanaceae.